Molecule: transfer RNA, 73 nt
Filed under: Anolis carolinensis (green anole)
Lineage: Eukaryota; Metazoa; Chordata; Lepidosauria; Squamata; Anolidae
Description: tRNA-Val (AAC) (tRNA-Val-AAC-3-1)
Rfam family: tRNA
About the family: Transfer RNA (tRNA) molecules are approximately 80 nucleotides in length. Their secondary structure includes four short double-helical elements and three loops (D, anti-codon, and T loops). Further hydrogen bonds mediate the characteristic L-shaped molecular structure. tRNAs have two regions of fundamental functional importance: the anti-codon, which is responsible for specific mRNA codon recognition, and the 3' end, to which the tRNAs corresponding amino acid is attached (by aminoacyl-tRNA synthetases). tRNAs cope with the degeneracy of the genetic code in two manners: having more than one tRNA (with a specific anti-codon) for a particular amino acid; and 'wobble' base-pairing, i.e. permitting non-standard base-pairing at the 3rd anti-codon position.
Source: Rfam by way of RNAcentral
GUUUCUGUAGUGUAGUGGAUAUCACAUUUGCCUAACACGCAAAAGGUCCCCAGAUCGAAGCUGGGCAGAAACA